Molecule: ribosomal RNA, 468 nt
Filed under: uncultured bacterium
Lineage: Bacteria
Description: partial 16S ribosomal RNA
Rfam family: Bacterial small subunit ribosomal RNA
Source: RNAcentral
GAUGAACGCUGGCGGCGUGCUUAACACAUGCCAGUCGAACGGUGAAGGCGGAGCUUGCUCUGCUGGAUCAGUGGCGAACGGGUGAGUAACACGUGAGCAAUCUGCCCCUGACUCUGGGAUAAGCGCUGGAAACGGCGUCUAAUACUGGAUACGAGCUGCGAAGGCAUCUUCAGCAGCUGGAAAGAACUUCGGUCAGGGAUGAGCUCGCGGCCUAUCAGCUUGUUGGUGAGGUAACGGCUCACCAAGGCGUCGACGGGUAGCCGGCCUGAGAGGGUGACCGGCCACACUGGGACUGAGACACGGCCCAGACUCCUACGGGAGGCAGCAGCGGGGAAUAUUGCACAAUGGGCGAAAGCCUGAUGCAGCAACGCCGCGUGAGGGACGACGGCCUUCGGGUUGUAAACCUCUUUUAGCAGGGAAGAAGCGAAAGUGACGGUACCUGCAGAAAAAGCGCCGGCUAACUACGUG